GCUGAACUUAGUUUUCUUGAAUUGCCAUGCUUCUUUUUAAACUUUUACAGUAAGGCAAUAGAUAUGUGGGGGCAGGUUUUGGAAACAGUGUAUGGAGAUCUGGUGAAACUUACUGUGAAGCUUUAGGUUUUAUUAUGUUUCCAUUCACUAUCUUAUGUGCUUGAUUUGAAAUGGCUGUAUUCUCUCUUAUUGGUUUAAUAGUAGGAAGCUACACGUGUCAGUCAUUGUGUGUCUAAGCUAGGGCGAUUCUUAAUUAUGCUUAUCCUUGAUCUCAUGAUCCCAACUAUCUUCCAAAAUGAGAAUGUUCUCCAUAAUGACAGUAAUAUUUAGUUAUAUUUCCAAUAUGAGAAUGAAAAACUAUCUCUCAAGGCUACGAGUGACCUAUUCCAAAAGGAAAGCUCCAACAUGACAGCUCUAUUUACUUCUUUCAGGUUGGGGUCUCAGUAUUUGUGAUAGGAUAUGGAAGCAGACUGUAUCUUAUUGCUAACUAUAUUUCUCAAUCUUAGUGCCUUGUUGAUUUUGGUCUUUAUUAUUUAAUGUUUUUGAACUUGAUCACCUAACAUAUGGGCUGAACUGUUGUUUAUCUACAAUAGUAUUUCAAAGUGUUUUUGUAAUCUUCUUCGUGCUCUUGGUUUUGAAUUUGUGGCUUCCCUUGAUAAUUUAGAUUUGUGAAUUUAUGUUAUUGUUUUUGUACUUUGUCAUGUCAUCUUUUUAAGAAGAUUAGUUUUCUCAAAUCGCCACGAGUCUUCUUGAGCUUUGCCACGAGUAUUCUUGAGCUUUUACAUGAAGGAUGUAGGGGUCAGGUUUUGGAAAUAAUGGAUGGAGAUACAGUUAAACUUUAGGCUUUAUUAUCUUUGCAUUUAUUAUGCUGAUAAAAAAACAUCUUUGCAUUCAUUAUUUUCUUUGUUGUUAUUCCUUUUGCUACUCUUGUAGAGUUGGAGUUCUUGUAAUUGGGCAUUUGACUUUGAUGAUUUGAUUAUCUUUUACUUGUGUUGUAGUGAACUUUGAGCUUUGCCAUUAGUCUUCUUGACCUUUGCCAUGAGUGUUCUUGACCUUUGCCACGAGUUUUCUUGAGCUUUGCCAUAAGACUUUUUGAGCUUUGCCAUGAGUCUUCUUGUGCUUUGCCAAGAGUCUUCUUGAACUUUUCCAUCAUGAGUCUUCUUGAGCUUUGUCAUGAGACUUAUUGAGCUUUGCCAUGAGACUUAUUGAGCUCUGCCAUGAGACUUAUUGAGCUCUGCUAUCUAGUACUUCUUGAGCUUUGCCAUGUAGUACUUCGUGUAGCUGCCUAUUGAGUUCUUCUUGUAGCUUUAGCCCUUGAGUUCUUCUUGUAGCUUUGCCUAUGUAGACUUAUUGAGCUUUGCCACGAGUUUUCUUGAGCUUUGCCACGAGUCUUCUUGAGCUUUGCCAUGAGUCUUCUUGUGCUUUGCCAUGAGUCUUCUUGAGCUUUGCCAUCAUGAGUCUUCUUGAGCUUUGCCAUCAUGAGUCUUCUUGAGCUUUGCCAUGAGACUUCUUCAGCUUUUCCAUGAGACUUCUUGAGAUUUUCCAUGAGACUUAUUGAGCUUUGCUAUCAGACUUCUUGAGCUUUGCCAUGAGUCUUCGUGAGCUGCCAUGAGUCUUCUUGAGCUUUGCCCUGAGUCUUCUUGUGCUUUGCCAUGAGACUUCUUGAGCUUUGCCAUGAGAUUUCUUGAGUUUUGCCAUGACUCUUGUUCAGCUUUGCCAUGAGUCUUCGUGAGCUUUGCCAUGAGUCUUGUGCUUUGCCAUAAGUCUUCUUGAGCAUUUACAUGAAGGAUGUAGGGUUUAGGUUUUGGAAACAGCGGAUGGAGUUACAGUUAAAGUUUAGAUUUUAUUAUCUUUGCAUUCAUUAUGCUGAUAAAAAAAAUCUUUGCAUUCAUUAUUUUCUUUGUUGUUAUUGUUUUUGAUACUCUUGUGGAAUGGGAGUUCUUGUAAUUGGGCCUUUGACUUUGAUGAUUUGAUUAUCUUCUACUUGUGUUGUAGUGAAAUUUGAGCUUUGCCAUGAGUCUUCUUGAGCUUUGCCAUGAAUUUUCUUGAGCUUUUACAUGUAGGAUGUAGGGGUCAGGUUUUGGAAAUAGCAGAUGGAGAUACAGUUAAAGUUUAGGUUUUAUUAUCUUUGCAUUUAUUAUGCUGAUAAAAAAAAAUUUGCAUUCAUUAUUUGCUUUUCUGUUAUUCUUUUUCCUACUCUUGUGGAGUGGGAGUUCUUGUAAUUGGGCCUUUGACUUUGAUGAUCUGAUUAUCUUUUUCUACUUGUGUUGGAAUGAACACUUACCAUGGAAGCUUCAGGUUUUAUUACUUUUCUACUCACUAUUUUUCUUAUGUGCUCGAUUUGGAAUGUCUACAGUUUCUCUUAUUGGCUGGAUAGUUGGAAGGUAUUUCAUUGUAUGUAUCUAAGCAAGUGAUACGUCUAGGUCCUCCAUCAUCUACCCUUAUUGAUUAUAGUUUUCUUGAAUUCAUUGCCACGAGUUUUCUUGAGCUUUUCCAUCAUACUUCUUGAGCUUUGCCAUGAGUCUUCUUGUGCUUUGCCAUGAGUCUUCUUGUGCUUUUCCACGAGUCUUCUUGAGCUUUACCAUCACGAGUCUUCUUGAGCUUUGCCAUCAUGAGUCUUCUUUAGCUUUGCCAUGAGACUUAUUGAGCUUUGCCAUGAGACUUAUUGAGCUUUGCUAUCAGACUUCUUGAGCUUUGCCAUGAGACUUCGUGAGCUUUGCCAUGAGUCUUGUUCAGCUUUGCCAUGAGUCUUCGUGAGCUUUGCCAUGAGUCUUCUUGUGUUUUGCCAUAAGUCUUCUUGAGCUUUUACAUGAAGGAUGAAGGGUUCAGGUUUUGGAAACAGCGGAUGGAGUUACAGUUAAAGUUUAGAUUUUAUUAUCUUUGCAUUCAUUAUUUUCUUUGUUGUUAUUCUUUUUGCUACUCUUGUGGAGUGGGAGUUCUUGUAAUUGGGCCUUUGACUUUGAUGAUUUGACUAUCUUCUACUUGUGUUGUAGUGAACUUUGAGCUUUGCCAUGAGUCUUCUUGAGCUUUGCCAUGAUACUUGUUGAGCUUUGCAAUGAGUCUUCUUGAGCUUUGCCAUGAAUCUUCUUGAGCUUUUACAUGAAGGAUGUAGGGGUCAGGUUUUGGAAACAGCAGAUGGAGAUACAGUUAAAGUUUAGGUUUUAUUAUCUUUGCAUUUAUUAUGCUGAUAAAAGAAAAAAUUGCAUUCAUUAUUUGCUUUUCUGUUAUUCUUUUUGCUAGUCUUGUGGACUGGGAGUUCUUGUAAUUGGGCCUUUGACUUUGAUGGUCUGAUUAUCUUUUUCUACUUGUGUUGGAAUGAACACUUACCAUGGAAGCUUCAGGUUUUAUUACUUUUCUACUCACUAUUUUUCUUAUGUGCUCGAUUUGGAAUGUCUACAGUUUCUCUUAUUGGCUGGAUAGUUGGAAGGUAUUUCAUUGUAUGUAUCUAAGCAGGAGUGAUACGUCUAGGUCCUCCAUCAUCUACCCUUAUUGAUUAUAGUUUUCUUGAAUUCAUUGGCCUUACAGGAAAACUAAGCAAUGAAGUGUGGUGUAGGAUGUAAAAAUGGUGGGUGGAAAUUCUUUGAUCGGUGAAGCUAAAUGUUUUUUUCACCAGGACAUUGUUGUGUUCAUCUGAAUUAAUUUUUAACUGGCACAACUUGUCAGUUUGAUUAUAAUUUUGGUUGUAACUUGUUGGUUUGAUUAUAAUCUUGGUUGUAUUUUGAUAAUGUAUGGUUUGUGGGAUGAGCAUCAGACAACUGCGGUUGGGCUUUGAUCUUUGAUUUGAUGGUUUGCUUCUUGGUUUGAGAAGUUCUACUAUUUAAUUUUGUUGACUUCUAUGCAUAAUUCUAUAAUAUAGGUGUUUUGUUCUUUUAAUAGUUUUCCAAAACCUUUCGAUUCAUUAUUCUUGAUCCCAAACAUAUGGGUUGAGUUGUGAACUUCUUUGGAAUUUUUGCAUGUAACUCUUACGCUGAAAUUUUUGAAAUUAGUAUAAGAAUGAUCCUGAAAUUGAAAUUGUUUAAAUGCUUCACUUUUGCAUCAACAAUCUCCAUAUGUGUUUCACGUUCCUCGAUUUUUGAAAUUUGCAUUUUUUUGUUUGCAACACAUUGAGUCUUUAUCUGAGGUUUCUCUUUCAGUUUAUUAACUCAACCAGUGAUGGAAUAUAGUGGGACGACUAACAUGUCUAAUCAACCCGUUACAGAUUUUUUUUUCUUUUUUUCCUUUAUUGUUUAUUGAGUUGAGUGUUUUCAAAAUAUUUUUGUAACCACUUGGGAUUGAAAGUCCAACGUUAUGCCUGGCAUUAGAUAAUUGGACUUCUUUUAUUAGUUAUCCAAACCGUUCAUUUUUUUCAUAUUUGUUCUAUUUGGACAGGAAUUGUAUGCGAGAAAGAUAAUGGAGUUUUGGAGGUGAAUUUGUUUCAUAUUUGUUCUAUUUGGACAGGAAUUGUAUGUGAGAAAGAAAAUGAAGUUUUAGAGGUGAAUUUGUUAAUUCCAGUUAAAACGAAGAACUCUUGAUAAAGUAAUUUUCUUUGUUAUUCUAUUUCUCUAUCCAAUCCAGUUGUUGCAUUAAUCCCUUUUCAGCAUACAGAACUGUGACCGAUUUUAAGUUUGUAUGCAACGACGUUUUUUGAAAUUGUGUCACAAACUUAUUAUUAGGACUUAUUACCUUGGUUUUAUCUGAUCAUUCUGGACGUGCUAUAUUCUUUUGUGGGUUUUUGUUUGGUUUCAAUUUUCAGUAAUGUUUGAUAAUUGGAUUUUUUUGUUUGCAUAUCAGAAACUGAACCAAUCUCAAGGCAUUAAGUUUCUAUAGUUGGAGUAGUAUGAGACAACUUUGUUUCUCUGAAAUUUAGAUAGUCUCUAUAAUAUUGCAUGGUAGUUUUUUUUAUACGAUGUACAAGUAUAUCCAGUUUUAUUUGGAUAUUUUUUAACAACAAUGUUUUUUGGAAUAUGAUUGCUUGAGUGCUACCAUGUGAAAGUUCAACUUAAAACGACUACAACUCAUAAUAGCCUAAUUUCUUCUAUAUGAGGUUUCACCUUUUAUUUAACUUCUAAGGUCUUGAUAACCAACAUUAGGAUUGAAUUGUGAUUUGUUUUUCUACCGUGGUUUAUGAUUGGAUUCAAACAAUGUCUGGUUCUCAUCGAGCCUUUAAUGAGUUGGUUUCUAAGUUUAAGAAAUCGUCUAAUAUUUUCUAAAAUUCCUCCCUUGGAACAAGUGUUUUUAGUUUUCUUGAAUUUUUGCUCUUUACAGUUAAGACAUGCAAUGGAUGUGUGAGGACAUGUAGAAACAUGGGAUCAAUUGAAGUCUUAGUUUGUGUUAAUUGGUUUAGGAUUUCCUCUCUAUUUGAUAUUUUCAGAUUUGAUCACCAAAUAUAAGGAUUUUCCGUUGUCAUUUGUUUCUCUGCAGUGAUGUUUGCAUUAUGUUUCAUGCUACGUCUAAUGUAUCAUGUUGUCUGGAAGUUUUUAUGGCUCUUGGUAACAGGCUUUACAAGGGUUUCAGAGGAUCAGUAAUUUCAGAGGUGAUACCUAUUAUCAUAAUUGUGUCUUGCAGUGUGAAUUGUUCAAGUUUAUUCAUUUGCAUAAGGGAUCAGUUAUUCAUUCAUUUUUGCAGAAGAUUAGAUGGCUAACAUUAUUGUCUGUUCAUUUGAUCCAGUAGAGCCCAUUCUAGAAAUGUGAACUCCUCUUUUUUGUUGAUUUUUAGAUUUGGAAUUGUUCAAGUACCAACAGCAUGAUUUCAUGGUCUCUUAUGAUUUCCCCUGAAUUCUUGGUUGUUGUUUUGACCGGGUAGGGUUUGGGUAGAGUUUUGGUUUUUGGAUUAGGAAUUGUCCAACUACCAACCAUGUGUGUACAAGUUUAAAAUAUAUGAUGUGUUUGUCAGAUAUUUUUUUGGGAUAUAUAUAUAUAUAUAUAUAUAUAUUUAGUUGCUAGUUUUAUUUAUUGAAUUACAUAAAUGCUUUAUUAAUUUGAUCAUUUGAUUAUAGCAGAGUUGUAGUGGUUUUUAUAAAAUUAUUCUUGGUAGUUAUAUAAUUAUUCAUGGUUGUUAUAUUACCUUUAAUAGUUAUUGUUCUUGGAAAAAUAAUCUAGAAGUCCUUUGUUGACUAAUGAUUCUCUAACAUUUUUUUAAAUUUUAUAGUAGUUGUACUUUGCUUUGACAAUUUAGUUUAGUUUUUUUUAUUGACUCUGAUUGUUAAUUAAAUAUUUAUUUUCAUUAGAAUGUUGAUGAUGUGAAUGAUUUGUUUUAAUGUUGAUUGUGAUUCUAUUUUAUAAAAUAUUGUGUUAUGGUAAUCAUUAAUUAAUUGCAUUGUAUGCACUCAUUUAUCAUAUUGUUGUAUGACAAAUCUUAAAGCCCUGUAUGAGAAAGGUUCCUGGGUUGCUCUGUGGAAAGUUCUAAAACUCGCUCACAAUAGUAAAUUAUGGAUCAUGUGCUUUUACGCAAGAAUUAUUAGUAAAUUCAUGUACAUGAAUUCUUAGUAUAGUUCAUCUAGUUGAUGAUGACGAGUUUUUAACCUUUCGCUUAAAUUUGUUUGCACUUUUAAGCUGGUUGGUUCACUGAUAAUUCUUUUGCCUAUGGAUGGUAUGAAAACCCCAACAGCCACGGGCUCAGCAUAACGAAAGUCUUUUGAGUUUCCCUUUUAUUAUUAUUUUUUUUCUGGUAUUGAUGACCGAAAAUAAGGAUUGAACUAUGAUGUGUUUAUCUGCAGUGGUGUUUGGAUUAGUUGGGUAUAUUCGUCUUAUCAAGUUUCUAUACUUUCUCAUAGCAAGAGGGUUUAUCGUUUCCUUCAAUAAAAUUUGGUAUUCGUGUUCAUUCCUUUUCAGCAAGUCAUGAGUCUGAGAUUUCUUUUGGCGGUUGAGGAACAAGAAUGGUUUUACAGGAGAUCUAAUUUCUCUAUACUUUAUCACCAACAUUGAAUAGUGAUUUGUUCUUAUGCAGUACACAUAAGGAUUUAAUUUUGAUUUGUUUCUCUACAACAAUGUUUUGAUUUUUUCGUAUAAUGUCCUGCAUCUCAUGGAGUAUGUUAUGCGGCAUAAUAGUUGAAUUGUAAUUUGCUUCUCUGCAGUGUGAAAAUCGCUUACCGUACUGCAUCUCAUGAAUUGUUCUUUACAGGGAUGUGUGGUAAUUAGCAAGAGCUCAGGACUAUUUGGUUUCAAUUUUUAUAUAACAAAACUUUAUUUUGUCUUUAAUAGUUUCCUUCAUUGAAAAAUUGAAUUUUGAACUUGGUUCUUGUAAAGCAUCAAUGUCGUUGCCUAAUUUGUGUUUCAAGAUUAUUGAUCUUUCGUAUUGAAGUUCUGAAAAUUUUAUUUUUUUCUUAGGUGGAGCAGUAUUGAAAAGAUGUUAUUCCAUUCAUUUUAGUAGUGUAAUUAGCAAGAGCGCAGGACUAUUUGCCUCCAUUCUUUGAUUAUAGAAGUUUUUAUUUUGUUUGUUUCCUGCAUCUACAAAUGAAUUUUGAACUUGUUCUUGCAUAAUUUAUCAUUGGGAGAAAAUGAAUUGGUGGUGUAGGUUUGGGAAACAGUGGAUAAACACCUGUGGAAAUUUAGGUUUUAUUCUGUGUUUAUUAUUAUAAUGCUUACCUCUUUAUGAUAGGCACUGUAAACGUCUGUGUCAGCCAUUUAAUUUUCUCUUUCUUGUCCAUACUCAGACAUUUCUACCAGCAACUGAGUCAUUUAAUCGCAAAGAGAGUUUUGAGUAUAAUUCUCUAUUUGAGUAUAAUGAGUUUUAUACCUUUUGCGUAAAUUUCUUUUCAGCUGGUGGCUGGUUUUUUGGCAUUUCUUUUACGUAUGGAUUAUAUGAAAAGCUCAACGACCAAGGGCUCAACAUAACUUUAAGUCCUUUUUGAGUUUCCCUUCUAUUAUUUUCUUUAUGGUAUUACAUAAGGACUGAACUAUGAUUUGAUUUGUUUAUAUGCAGUGGUGUUUGGAUUAGUUGCGUAACGUGUCUUAUUUUCAUCGUAUCAAGUUUCUGUACUUAGUAAAUUCAUUUUGGUGAAUUUUGAGUAUAAUUCUCUAUUUGAGGAUGACGAGUUUUAUCCUUUUGCAUAAAUUUCUUUUCACCUUUUGAGUUGGUGGCUGGUUCUCUGGCAUUUCUUUUGGCUAUAGAUGAUAUGAAAAGCACAACGACCAAGGGGCUCGACAUAACCUAAGUCUUUUUUGUGUUUUCCUUCUAUUUUUCUUUAUCCUGGUAUUGAUCACAGUUCAUAAGGAUAUGAUUUGUUUAUCUGCAGUGGUGUUUGAAUUAGUUACGACGCAUAUUCGUCUUAUAAGUUUCUAUAACUAGUAAAUUCAUUUACGUGAAUUUUGAGUAUAAUUCUCUGUUUGAGUAUUACGAGUUUUAAACCUUUUGCGUAAAUUUCUUUUCAGCUCGUGGCUGUUUUUUUGGCAUUUCUUUUGCCAAUAUGAAAAGCACAACGACCAAGGGGUCGACAUAACCUUAACUCCUUUUUGAGUUUCCCUUCGAUUAUUUCCUUUAUGAUAUUACAUAAGGAUUUAACUAUGAUUUCUUUAUCUGCAGUGGUGUUUGGAUUAGUUGGGUAACGACGCAUAUUCAUCUUACAAGUUUCUAUAACUAUUAAAUUCAUUUACGUAAAUUUUGAGUAUAAUUCUCUGUUUGAGUAUUAGGAGUUUUAAACCUUUUGGGUAAAUUUCUUUUCAGCUGGUUUUUGGCAUUUCUUUUGCCUGUGGAUGAUAU
Molecule: long non-coding RNA, 8676 nt
Filed under: Phaseolus vulgaris (common bean)
Lineage: Eukaryota; Viridiplantae; Streptophyta; Magnoliopsida; Fabales; Fabaceae
Description: long non-coding RNA (PVUL_LNC001214)
Source: RNAcentral